CACUGGGUUAUUUUUAUCCAAGGUCUGUUACUUAAUCUUGUUUCCAUGAUUGCCCACAUGCUUUUAUUUGCACGUUACGGAGAGAGUAGGAGCAUGUGGUGUGAAGGAUGACAAGUAGAAAUAGAAACUAAAGCUACAGCUUUAGAGGUAGUGAAUGAAGCUAGUUGGUAUCUCUCUUGGCAAAUAAAAAGAAAUGGAAGAGAACUAAAGUCAUCCUUUGACCCACCAAAAUGGACUUUUACACUGAGAACAGUUCCAUAUAAACAGGACAAGUAUAAACCAGUGCUGGAAAAACAUUCUUUAUUCACGGUGAACAAACUGACCAAAGAACCGUGUGAGCUGCCUUAUGUGGAAGAAAAUUAAUGAAGCGUUUUUGGGGUGAUGACUGCACAUUUUUACCAGUGUCAAGUCCUCCGUUGAAUUUGAAUGUUUUCAGUCUGAAGAUGAGCAGUAAAGGACAACAUAGAUGUCAGAGACAGGAGUCUGGUCUGGUAGGCUGUUGAACAUCAUCUGCAGCAUGGGACUACAGUCUAUAUCCAAGAAGCAGGGUCCUUUCUUACAGGUGGCAAGAUGCAAAACACAUUUUCCAGUAUCUUCUUGAGCAGAUAUAGGGAACAAAGUAAAAUCAAAG
Molecule: long non-coding RNA, 631 nt
Filed under: Manacus vitellinus (golden-collared manakin)
Lineage: Eukaryota; Metazoa; Chordata; Aves; Passeriformes; Pipridae
Description: lncRNA (ENSMVIG00005010260.1)
Source: RNAcentral